GCACAAUGUUUAGAAAACGGUAAUUUUGUAGGGUGUUGCAGAAUUGCCCUGUAUUUUUUCUCUGUAACAAGGUGAGAGUGUCAUAGCUGUGAUCAUGUGCAGUAUUUACCUGCAGAGCUUCAUUUGAGAGUGCACUUAAUAGUGCAAUAGAAAGUGGAAUUACUUUAGUGGUGAUCAUGGACCACCAAUUCCUGAGCAAGGGAGUUACUCAGGCUUUAUACAAUAAGAUUCCGGUUUAAGUGAACCAUCUGAAUUACUUGGUUUUGAAACUUCUUUUGUUUUUUAAUCUUUUGAUCCUAUGAGAGGCAGUAAUCAAGGUGUUUGUACAACAAUGAGUAUUUCCCUUUUCUCAGAGUUCUUGCACGGUGCCAUGAACAGUUCUGCCAUGGCAUGGGCUUCUGCCAUUCCAAGUAUUUGCUGAAUCACAAGGAAAAGUCACGCUCUCCCUGGUUUUUCAAGAUUGAAAGGAAGACAUGGAGGUGCACUCCAUGUAGAACAUACAGCACCAGAUAUGUUUGUAUAAUGUUGCCUUCAAAGGAGUCGUGAAAGAAGCUUGGAUUGAAAGAGAAAGCAAAAGCAUUAUCAGACAUUGUCCUGCCAUAUUCUGACUGCAAAUUCAAAAACCUAUAGCUGAAAUGGAGAGUACAGUACAAUCUGUCUAUCUGGGAUUCAUAGCUUCUAUCCAGAAUUCCUAACUGGAAAAUAUAUUCUGUUCUUUGUGGAUGGCAAUUGCUUAAAGACAACUCUUGCUCCCGUCUGCUCUGUGUGCCAGGAAUGCUGUGGACUGUUUACUGUUCUUGUUGAGACUUGCUGCAAAAUUAGGACCACGUUGUAGCUUCAGUCAUCCAUGUAGGAGUGGGAGGAGGAGCACCAGGUACUCCAGGAAUAAUUUAGGUGUGGCAGCCAGAAAUUUUGCAGCACUGAAAGAACACAAGGAGCAUUCUUGCUACUCCACUACUGGCUGGUGCUGCCUUCACCUGGGGAGUUUGUGGCAGCACUGAAGUGGAACAACACUUGUGGAGCUCUUUGUACCUGUGCAAAGGGAGAGGGAAGCACUGUUGUUCCAAAUCACAUCGUUUUACAUGCACCUCUGCUUCCCCAGUCCAAAAAUGCCCUUUCCUUCUCACAGUGAGCAAUGUCACCGUGUUCCUGUGGCCUGGUAUUACCUGGGAGAGAGUUAAUUUUCCUGCCAGUAUCUGCUGUAGAGUGGUGUGAGUGAGGGGCUGUGUGGUGUUUAGCUGCCUGCUGGGUUAAACCACCUCCUAUUCCUGUCUUUGCAUAUUCCAUCUCUGCACACUUGAAAUUCCUUCAGGCCUGGGCCUCAGGGCAGUGUGUUGAGUUCAUGUACCGUUCCCAAAUGGGAGCUUGAUUACCUUGCAGAUACAAGAGUCUGCUCAUUUCAAAUGCCACAGGAAAAAAAGCUAAGAAGAAAGGCGAAUGAAAAAUCUCAUUGAGAAUGGUAAAGACAUGAAUUGUUUCUGGCCUCUGUUCAUGCAGCACCUGUUAAUGACAACUGUGGGAAGGGAUGAGUGGAUUUGCUAAUUCA
RNAcentral lists this long non-coding RNA (1546 nucleotides) under Cyanistes caeruleus (blue tit). RNAcentral's name for it is "lncRNA (ENSCCEG00000023649.1)". Lineage: Eukaryota; Metazoa; Chordata; Aves; Passeriformes; Paridae. The record is from RNAcentral.